RNAcentral lists this ribosomal RNA (433 nucleotides) under uncultured bacterium. RNAcentral describes it as "partial 16S ribosomal RNA". It matches the Rfam family "Bacterial small subunit ribosomal RNA", at positions 29 to 507 of the family's 1533-position model. The record is from RNAcentral.
AACGAACGCUGGCGGCAUGCCUAACACAUGCAAGUCGAACGAGACCUUCGGGUCUAGUGGCGCACGGGUGCGUAACGCGUGGGAACCUGCCCUUAGGUUCGGAAUAACUCCCCGAAAGGGGUGCUAAUACCGGAUAAUGUCUUCGGACCAAAGAUUUAUCGCCGUUGGAUGGGCCCGCGUUGGAUUAGCUAGUUGGUAGGGUAAAAGCCUACCAAGGCGACGAUCCAUAGCUGGUCUGAGAGGAUGAUCCGCCACACUGGGACUGAGACACGGCCCAGACUCCUACGGGAGGCAGCAGUGGGCAAUAUUGGACAAUGGGCGAAGGCCUGAUCCAGCAAUGCCUCGUGAGUGAUGAAGGCCUUAGGGUUGUAAAGCUCUUUUACCCCGGAUGAUAAUGACCGUACCGGGAGAAUAAGCUCCGGCUAACUCCGUG